This is a long non-coding RNA of Talpa occidentalis (Iberian mole), 1108 nucleotides long. RefSeq lists it as uncharacterized. The transcript is spliced from 5 exons. Lineage: Eukaryota; Metazoa; Chordata; Mammalia; Eulipotyphla; Talpidae. The record is from RefSeq and is a predicted model, not a curated record.
UUGGGGCUUCCCGGGCAGCCUGGCAGGGCUGCGGAUGCGCCUUGGCGCUUGGGCUGUGGAACACCCUCUUCCCCCAUGUAGCUCCUGGUGCAGAACUCCCCAGCAGCCAGGGUGCUGCUUUUGUGCCGUCCUGGGAUGCUGGCGCCCCCGGCAGCCUGGGGUGCUGCCUGGUCCCAGAUGCCCCGGGCGCCCCCAUUAAAGUUCCCGUUCCUGGACAGAGGACUGGUUCCUCAUAAAUUGCCGAUUCCUUGAGGGAAAGACAUGCUGCAGGAUGCCGGUUUUAUUUUGUCUUUUACUCAACAGUUCCCAGAAGCCAUGACAUGUCCCUGCAGCUGGGGGCCUCCCAGGGUCUCUCUGGAGGCCCUCUGGGUCCUGCCUUGCCUGGGAAGGAAAGAAGGAAAUGUGUGUCCGGGGAGACCCUUCGGCUGAGCCCACAAGGCACCAUCAGCUUCUCACCUCUGGGGCCUUCUCCUCUCUGCAGCGUCCACCUUCAGAGGCUCUCCCUGGUCCUCCUUGUCCUAGAGGAGAUUGGAUGCCAAGUCAAGGAAGGAGCCCAAAGACUCACAGGGGAGGAAGCCAUCUGAGUUUUUCGGUGCAGAACCCAUUGGCUCCGGUGGUGAGGAGAGACAUAAUUUCACCUCCAGCAGUGCUCCUGAGUCCAGGAAUUGCCACCCCCACCCCAAAGAUCCUCCUCUGGCCAUCAUAAAGGGGUGAAUAGUGCCUGGCACCAGUAAUUUUCCCUUUCCCCUUACCACCAGGCCCUCGACUGGAAAUGGCAAAUAGGCGCCCAUGGGACACCCUAAGUUUGUCCCCUGCCAGAGGCCUCAGCUUCCUCCCCUACUUCUGAGCUCACCCUAACAGCCCCUCCUGCUAUCCAGUGGGUGAGGUCAGAGGGAUGGUUUUUCACCCAUAUGAACUCAGAUGGGGCACCCAACUUCCUCAUUCCCUGGGCCCUAGUUAACUCUCCAACCAGGCCAAGACACUGUCUCAGUUGUCCAGAUGCUGGGGGCCCUGUGCUCAGCCCAAAACAUGCUCAGCUUUUUGAAUAAAAUUAUUUCAAAAUGGUGUCUACAAAUAUUGGAACCGCCCUCCUCUAAAAUUAUAGCUA